CGCCCACGCGCCCCAUUUCGUCGGGUCGGUCAGCUCGUAUGUGACUUCGCCGUUUUCUUGCACCACCAUGUUAUACAUGUCCAGAUCCAUGGUUGUCCUCCUUCCUUAAUUAAUCGAACACAACAAACUCUCCAACAGGUUAACAAUAGUGAUUAAAAACUAGAAACUCAUGGACAUUAUACGUAGCUAGGCCAUGGCUGUGGAAGAAUGUUGAGGAUAUGGGGAUGAUUUAGACUAAUUUUUUUGGACAAUAUAUGUAGCUAGGCCAUGGUUGUGAAAUAAUGUUGAGGAUGGGAUGCUUUAGACUAAAAGCUGUCAGCAAUAUAUGUAGCUAGGCCAUGGCUGUUAAUGAAUGUUGAGGAUGGGGGGAUUAUUUGGUUCGAUAAACCAUGCAUGGUUGGGGUGUAUGAAGAUGUGUGAUCUGCAUUUGCCCGGUCAUGGAUACACAUAUAUAUNCUGUCUGUUUCGUCUCGUAUCCAUUUGUAUUUGUUAUAAAGAUAAUGAAGGCGUCUGGGUAUUUGGACCUUGAGUCUCUACCAAGACUUCCUAACUAAAGGCUAGAUUUUGGACCCUUCCUUCCAUUGGAAAGGAGACUUUGUGUGAGGGACUAGGAUAUCCAUCUUGUUUUGUGGUGACAGGGAGGAACUAAUGUGAUAAGAUGAGUUGUGCAGAUGAUGAAUAUUCAUGUAGCCCUUGGUGUGGUGGACCUUCUCAAGAAAGGGCAUGUUUGGGUUCCUACACGAGCCGUUUGGUCUAAGGCAAAAAGUAACAUCUUUCGGCUAGGUUCAACAAUAACUCCCUCACCAUCCCUUGAGAGGUGAGCUCAUGUGCUGCAAAAUGCACAAAGGCAUGUUGUGUAAACUCGAUAGGCGGGUGUAGAAAUCCACCACCAUCUCCUCUCCUCUCGGUUAAUUAAAACUUAUUAUUUCUCAUCCAUUGUCUUCGCUAUUUGUUCGUAUUGUUGGGGUUUGUGGCCGCGACGACUACACUAAUUCGUAAACAACAAAUAUAGGUGUCGGUUUGUGUUGUUCAUAACUCCACGCAUGAAAUACGGACCCUGCCCCCCACCCACCCUCCUCAUUUAAGAUUUUCACACCCAUGACAUCGGGUAGAACCCCGAACUUGGUACCAAGUGAUAUAGAGAAACUCCCGGUUGCCAUUGGCAGUACCCCUAAUAUGUUCUUUCCCACUCUCACUCGGGAACACAUUGUGUAGUGUUGACCUAUUGACCCAUUGGUGAAAUUUGAAUGAAGGAUGUUGUGCUAAAUUGUGCAAUGCAAUGUUGGUUUUGACCCCUUUGGGGUGGCGGUGCUAUACCUAUCAGUACUACCCCUUUUGAUAUAUAUUUUUCCUAAUGGGUUUGACAAGACGGACUCAUCGCAGGUUUCUUCAUGGAUAUUUGUGCCAGAGAUUGUGGUGUAAUAAUUUGUGUGGAAUACAUAAGGCAGUUAAUAUGAAUGCACAAUGUGUGGCAUCUUUUUGCUAGGUUCUAUAGUAUCUCCCUGUACGUGUCGUUUGAGAUGGGUUCAAGUGUUGCAAAAUGCAAAAAUGCAUGUUGUGUAAACUUGGCAUGGGUGCAGCAACCAUCCAUUUCUCCUAUCCGUUGGUAAAUUGAAACCUAUUUCGCAUCCCAUGUCCUUGUUAUUUGUUCGUGCUUUCUGGCAUUGUGGCCGCGGUGACGACAUCAAGUUGUAAAUUACAAAUAUAAGUAUCGCUUUGUGCUAAUCAUCACUCCACCCACAAAUUAUUACCCCUCCCCUUUCAAUUAGUAUUUUUCACACCAAUGACAUUGAGUGAAACCCCAAACUUCAUACUAGGCGAUGUAAAUAAACUUCAUACCGAGUGUUGUGAGAUUGUGGUGUAAUGAUUUGUUCAAGAAUACAUGGGUCCCAUCAAAAUUAAAAAAAAAUACUCGUCUAGUGGACCACCUCCCCUCAUUUUCUCAAUGCAUAAAUGAAAGAAUAUAUGACGGUGUGAACUUAGAGUUGAGCGGUGGUGCCGGAAGACACGAUGGAAGCCGUGGCAUGUUCUCUACUACUCCCUAGUGUAUGGCUUUCCACGAUUGGGGGUGUGGUAGCACGUGGUGAAGUUAGGUGGAGGCUCUAGGAAGCGGGAGGGUUUGGGCCUAGGAUUAUGCAUCAUUCCUCGAUAGUAGAGUGAGGAGGCGGGAGGGCCUGAGCUUAAUAUGAUGCAGUGCUCCUCGGUGGUGAGGAGGUGGGAGGGUUUAGCCUAGCAUGAUGAGGCGCUCCUUGAUGGCAGCUCAAGGAUGUGGGAUGGGCUAGGCCUAGGAGAAUGUGGCAUUCCUCAACGGACCAGUCACAACAUCCAGUUCCGGCAUCUCAAAGCCUCUCAACGUUGGUAGCAAAACAUCCUCAUUAGGAUGAUGCGGGAGAUGGAUGUGUGGUUUGCCAAGUAGUAUGGGUUUUUUCCUUGAUAGAACUUAUCCCAAAUUUCAUAGAAAGAAGUAGUGUGCGAUGUCGUUGUGUUUUGUUUCCACUUAGUUUCUUCACGUGGAUGAGACUUAAGAAAGUCAAUUUGUAUUUCUCAGGGGACAAAUUUGAAACAUCGCCCAAAUUUGUUGAUUAUAUUGAUAAUUUGAGAAUGUGCCUUUGUUACUUUUGUGAGACAUAUCUUGAAACUUAUAUUUGUCCAAUGAAUUUUGUGAGAAAAUACACCGAUAAUUUUACCAAAUGUAAUUUUUUUUGUGAAAUGCAUGUCUAGUAUCCUUAAAAUUUUGAAAAAACGGCAUGAAAAACCAAUAAACUUUGUUAAGUCUUGUAUAAUGAUGAGGGGUGUAUGUAGAGAUGUGUGUAUGUGGAUCUCAUUCAGUACCUGUACGAAAUGGCACUAAAAUUUAUGCAAAAUGUAUCUACUAUUAUGAAAUGUGAAUGAAAUAUUCUUGAAUUCUAUCAAAAAAUUCGUGGAAAUAGUUUGGAAAUUUCUUACAUCAUAAUUUAAUUGAUCUAAAAUGAACAUUAAAUGCUCUAAGGAGUCUAAAAUCAUUCUAAAAUGGAUCUAUGUAGUUGAGCUAAAAGGUUCCCAAAAUAUGAAAAUUCAGAUUUUGUGAAUUUUUAUUGAAAUGCAAGGAAUCACGAUAACACGCAUUUGUGAAAUCUAGUGAAAAUAUCUCUUGAAAUUAUUUUCAAAUCAUGAUCAGAUCAUGAGUACAUACUGGUUGAAAUGUGAUUAAAUUUUGAACUAGAGCAAAAAAAUUGUGACAUUUGUAGAAACAGUGAAAAUGACUCUAGAAUGUUUCUUGAAUAAACAAAUUUACUUCAUUUUGUAAGAAUUCGAAUUAAAGUUGUUUCUAGAAAACAUUUGCAACUAUCAUACAUGCAUUUCUAACUUACAGUUGACAGAUUUCCGAUGGGUCCUAACAUGGCUAUAUCGAGUACGUGGUUGCUGCGAGUGUCGAGAUAUAUUACAUCAACAUAAAAGUCCUACUUUCUGCCACAUAACAUAUCCAUAAAGUAUGCAAAAAAGGUUUCCUACAGCAACACGUCUUGUAGAAUGUAUAGGGUAGGAGUCUGAACCAUUAUUGGUACCAAUCCAACACAAUAAGCUACGCAUCAGGGGUGCUCGCUCGGCGUGUCCACGUUGGCAAAGUUACUCUGCAACGCUAGGAUGAAAGAAAAAACUCGACAAACAUGUAGACCUGCCACACGCUUCCUCCCCACUCUACCAAUUCCCUCCCUCUCGCCGGAUCCCUACGCCGCCGGCUCCGCCACUUCUCCUCCCCGUUCCUCUCCUCGCCCUGUAUGGGUUGCCGUUGCCGCCACUGCCGCCGUUCCUCUCCUCACCCAGGCAUCACCUCCACUCUCUCUCAUCAUCUAGGGAUGGAGGGGCAACUGCAAUCCACCUCGAGGAAGAGGGGUAGGCAGAAGGACAGUGGUCGUUCAACUCGGGACGACGAGCCAUGGGUGACGACCAUCUCAACACAAAGUUUUAUCAGCGGUGGAUCCUCAGGUUGUGGGAAGCGAGACGAUUUGAAUUGGAUCUGGCGAGAUCCAUCAGGAGACGGUGCUUCAGUGAGGUGGGCGAUGUGGCAGAAGAGAGCGUGGUGGAGGAGGUGGAUGAGAAGCCAGGGUUGAGGUCUUCCACUAGGAUCUUCUCUGCGACGUGCUCCAAGUAGCUUAUUCAUGUCCUUGGUUAGUUAUUAAUUUACAUAUAUGAGACUCAAAAUUGUGAGAACCAAACUUUAAUUUCUUAUUCUGCUCUCUUCCUCUCAUCUUGUACAAGCACACAUAGCAGACUAGCAGGUACGACCUGGGACCCCUAAUACCAAGCAUGACGAUGUGCAAUAGUGUUGUAGCGCGCAUGACCAGAGCAUGACGGCACAACGGUGCAGCAAGGUGGUGUAUACCACCACGAGGAGCAAGAGCGCCAAACAGCUGGCUUUCAGGGUAAUAUCCUCUUUCAGUUCUUGUAUAUACGCGAGUACGUUGGUGUUCCUGUUGGUGGAUGUGUAGCUGGAUGUUCAACAUGUGCUUAUUGGUGACUUGCUGCCUAGAGUUGCAAUAGUAAUUGGAGCAGAUGAUUGUAUAGAAUGGUAAUUUUGUUGGUUAGCUAAAAAUGAACCUUCAAGACAAAUGAUAUGACCUGUACUUGAUGGUGUUAUUCUUCUCAUGUGAAAAUUCGAGAGCUUAUUUGAUGUUGUUGUUCUGCUUAUGUAACAACCUGAGAGCUUAUUGUAGCUUCUCUACUUGUCAAUAGGAGGUGGUGCGGUGGAAUAAUACGGCUUGGGCAUUUCCGACGAGAUGUGGCUCGAGCGGAUGUCGUCGAUGCGACAAUGAGAAGAUCCUCUUGGUGAUCCCUCUCCCUCCGUUUUGCCUCUCAUGCUUCAGGUUUCUGUGUUCUCAAGGGAGAUUCAUUGGUCCUUUUCAAGGUUUGUUUUAUUAAUCUGUCAUAUUUAAAUGGAAAAAGGUGCAUGGGAAUUUCUAUGGAAAUGUCACUCAAGGAGGGUCACACAUAGCUCACAAUUGGGUGAUAUCCUUAUGGCCGACAAGGAUUGAUCCUCAUUCAAGAUGGAAAGUGUUGAUUUCCGAUGAAUGCCAUAUACAUUUAUUGUUUCUUAGACAUUGAAAGUUAAGGAAAACACUUGUUUGAUUGGUCCAGUGCAGCUUGCGUCUGAACCACAAUUCCUGUUUGAGUCUGAACCACAAUUUCCAGAAAGUGAAGGAAAACACUUAUUUGAUUCAUUUAGUUGUAGCUGUUGCGGGUUGCAGAUACCCAAUUAGGAUUCAUUUAGUAUUGAAUGCUUUCAUUUUCACACCUAUACUGAAUUAUCCAAUACUAAAUUUAGGAUUUGUUUUCUAGUUACACCAUCUAUUUGUUUUUUUCAGUUCCUACCAAUAAGUGUGAAUUAUACUAACAUGUCUUGAACUCUUUUGCUUGGUCAUGAGAGGGGCACUGGGUGAAAAUGUUGGCAUAGAAAUUCAUAACAUGAAAUAAGUGGUCGGGGUCUGGUCAUGGUAAGUGAGCACUUUACAGAGUUAGUAUGGCUUAUGAUUUGUACUUGAUUGUCUAAUGAUAACUUCUGCACAUCAAGAAAUAGCUGAACCUUUUAGCAAUAGCACAUUUCUGUAUAUGAAUUUGUGUUCACAUAUGUUGAUCAUAUUUUAAUAUUGAAGGGCUUGCCAAAUUUAGUUGCAAUUGGAGAUGCAUAUUUUCCACAUGUUGAUGUUGUUUUUUGUUGCUUGCCAUAGGAAACAACAGAGGUUGGUACCCUCAUCAUGCUUUUUCUGAGUUUUUUUCCUAUCAAUUAUUGAACUUAUGAAGGAAUACAAUUAUAUGCUCUUCUGUCAAUUACAAGAUAACAUUUUGUACUGAACACACUUAGAGAAAAACUUCAAUUUGUUUGUGUUCUUUCUAGAAUUGAUUGUAAACAUGGAUGAAGGAAAAUUUGGAUGUUGAUGUUUUUCGCUUUUUCUUAACCACAAUACCAAUGCAACAUGCUAACAAUAAUCGAGUAUAUACUCUUGUUACUUUCCAUCUAUGUAGGUGUUCUGUUGUAUUGUCUUGAAACAAUUAAUAAAAUGUUGUAGCUUUUGGUUUCUCUAUCUUAUCAAUAAAAUGAUGUUCACACAUGUAGUAGAUAUAUGAUACUUCUAGCUGAAAAAGGGGAAACAAGCUUGCCAUCAGUAGUACUAUUUAUAUUACAGUAAUUUGACUAGGAAAUGGUCUAUUGAAGGGAUUACGAUGAGCAAAACUGAAACAUGAGUCCAGCUACCUAUAGUCCCGGUGAUGAAAUAUGUUAUUGUCUUGUAAAGCAGUUAUUAAACUAACAAAGGACAACAUAAUGGAUAGAUGACAACCUCGUACCGCAGAAGCCCCCCCCCCCCCCUCAAGAGGUACGCUCAUGGCGCGCUCCCGCCUCUAGUACAAGUGAAACUUACUACAUAUUGUAGUGAUUUUCUUUAUAUGGUGUGUGUUUAUAUGGAAAGUCUCCUUAGCUGUCCCAUGGGUGAUAGGCUAAAUUUUGAAAAAUGCAUAGAUACAUACUUGGUAAGCUAUGUAGUGUUUUCAAAAUCCGCCAUUCUCUCAUCUCCUUUGUUCAAUUUGUAAAGUUUUAAUAUGAAUUCCAAUUUGUGCUAAUCAUAACACCGCACACAAAAUACACCCCAUCUUCUCAAUUAGGUCUUUUCACACCCAUGACAUCAGGUGGAACCCCGGAAGUGAUACCAAGUUUCGUAGAGAAAUUUUCGAUACCGAUGGACACGACCACUAAUACCUUAUCACUUGCUCUCACUUGGAAUACUCCGUGGAUAUCGAUGGAAAUUCCCUAAGAAUACAUUAUGUAAUAUUGACAUAUUAACUAACAUGUGAAAUGGAGUACAUUUGAAUCAAGAGUGUUGUGUUAAUAUGAACAAUACGUUGUCUUUGACCUCAUAUGUGUCAUGCUAUAGUUUCUCAAUUAGAAGGUUGCUUAUUAGUACUACCUCUUUUAAAAAAAAAAUUAUAAUGUGUAUGCUAACACGAAUCCAUAGUAGGUUGAGAAUUCAUUGGUUAUAUUGUUGUAUAACGAAUUAUAAGGAAACAAAGAAAGUGGUUAAGAGGAAUACACAAUGUGUGGGGACCUUCCAAAGUAAAAAAUAUAUAUACCUAACAACUGAAUUCCCCUCACACCCCCUCAUUUUCUCAAUAUAUUAACUAGAGAAGAGACAAUGAAUUGAGCUUGGUGUUGGACAACCUCACUGAAGGACAUGGUGGUAUUUGUGUCUCUUUUCUUUACAACUCCCACCGUGUUUAACUUUCAUGAUUGGUGGUGCAGUAACACGCGACAAAGCAAAGUGAUGACAUGAGGCAGAAGGAUGGGUUGGGCGUGGGGGAUGUGACGCUUAUCGACAACCCAAUCAUAGUAUCUCGCCCCUCGGACCCAAUCUCCCUGAUGCCAUCAACAACAUAUCAUGCCCAGGAUUAUGCGAAAGAUGGGUUUUGGUUCUCCAAGCGGUAUGGUUUGCUUCCUUGGAUUCAAUUUCUCGCUAGAUUUAGCAUGGAUUAAAGAAGCCAAAUUUUGUGAUACCAUGCAAAGUAAUAGUGUGUGGCAUUGUGUUUUUUUGUUUUCUUUCUUCCUGUGGAGGGGAGUUAAGCGAAUCAAUAUGCAUUGGUCAGGAAACAAACUAAAACACAAUCCAGAUUUGUUUAUUUUGUUGAUAAUUUGAUAAUAUCAUUGUUGCUUCAACUUUUUGAGAAAUAUUUUGGAACUUAUAUUAGUUGUGUGAAUUUUGUGAGAAAUAUACACAUACAAAUUCAUCAAACAUAACUUUUAUUUUGCUUGUGGAGUUCACAUGCAAUGUGUCUCACUUUUUGCUAAAAUAGAAUGAAAUGAUAAUACAAAAUUUCUGGUUUUCGAUGAUGAGGAGGGCGUAUGUGGAGAUGCAUGUAUGUGGAACUUGUUUAGUAGAUGCAUGAAAUGGCAUACUUUGGAAAAAUGUAUCUAAUUAUGAAAUGUUAAUGAAAUAAUUGGUUCUUGGAUUCGAUCAAAAACUAGUAUGAAAAUGCAUGGGAAAUAUAUUAAAUCAUCAUGAAAUUGAUCUAAAUUGUAUAUUAAAUCAUCUAAAUAUCUCUAAACCAUUCUAGAAUGAUUAUUACGAGUUGAGAUGAAUGGCGUCUCAAAUCUGAAAUUUGAGUUGCAUCUUAAUCAUAAUUACUAGCUUUAGUUGCAUGUAAAUCAUGAUUUACAUGCAACUGAAACUAGUAGUUUGGGUGCAAACUUAUGAUGUAUGAAAUCCAGGGAAAAUGCCUCUAAAAAUUGUUCUCGAAUCACGACUACAUAAUGCAGGUAUAAUGAUUUAAAUUUCCUUGAAAUUUGAAUUUGAGUACAAGUUUGUGACAUUUGUGGAAGCUAGUGCUAAUAACUUUGGAAUGAUUAUGAAGUAAAUAAAAUUUGUGAUUCAAUGAACUUGAACUGAAAUCAUAUUUGGAAUGCAUUUUGAAAGGUUCAAAUGUUAGAAUUUCAUUUGCAUCUUUCCUAAAAAUCCAUUUCAUUUAAUGACUCAUGAAUGAAACAAAAUAAAUCUUGACGAAGCCAUUAUACAUGCAUUUGAAACUCUUGUAGGAUUUAUUGAAAUCUUAUUCAAUCAUAACUUGUAACUUUUUGAAGAUUUGAAACUUCAACUAUUGAUUUAGUUCUAGUAAAAUUUAAUUUUAAAAUGUGUAAAAAUGAGUUAAUAUAUAGAUACAUACUAUGAUGGAAAUUUAUGGUCAGACUCACAAAGCAAAAAACAUACGAUGUAUACUUUGUUGGCCCAUGGCGUGCAGGGUAAAAAUGAUUUUCUUGAGGCUAGAUAUCCAUAUGGUGGCUUGAGGAGAGGAUGUUUUGGGUACCAAUGUGAUAAUAUUAGAUGUGAAAAUGGUGUGUGAUGACCCACAAGUAUAGGGGAUCAAUCAUAGUCCUUUCGAUAAGUAAGAGUGUCGAACCCAACGAGGAGCAGAAGGAUUUGACAAGUGGUUUUCAGCAAGGUAAUAUCUGCAAGCACUGAAAUUAUCGGUAACAAGUGCUUGUGUGGUGAGAUGAUUCGUAGCAAGCAACGAGUAACAAAAGUAGCAAAAGUGCAGCAAAGUGGCCCAAUCCCUUUUGUAGCAAGGGACAAGCCUGGACAAAGUCUUAUAGGAGGAAAAGCGCUCCCGAGGACACACGGGAAUUUCUGUCAUGCUAGUUUUCAUCAUGUUCAUAUGAUUCACGUUCGUUACUUUGAUAGUUUGAUAUGUGGGUGGACCGGCGCUUGGGUACUGCCCUUACUUGGACAAGCAUCCCACUUAUGAUUAACCCCUCUCGCAAGCAUCCACAACUACGAAAGAAGAAUUAAGACAAAGUCUAACCAUAGCAUUAAACUAGUGGAUCCAAAUCAGCCCCUUACGAAGCAACGCAUAAACUAGGGUUUAAGCUUCUGUCACUCUAGCAACCCAUCAUCUACUUACUAAUUCCCAAUGCCUUCCUAUAGGCCCAAAUAAUGGUGAAGUGUUAUGUAGUCGACGUUCACAUAACACCACUAGAGGAAAAAUAACAUACAACACAUCAAAUUACCGAACGAAUACCAAAUUCACAUGACUACUUAUAGCAUGACUUAUCCCAUGUCCUCAGGAACAAAAGUAACUACUCACAAAGAAUAAUCAUAUUCAUGACCAGAGAGGUAAUGAGUAGCAUCAAGGAUCUAAAUAUAAACUCUUCCACCAAGUAAUCCAACUAGCAUCAACUACAAAGAGUAAUUAACACUACUAGCAACCUUACAAUUACCAAUCGGAGUCGCGAGACGGAGAUUGGUUACAAGAGAUGAACUAGGGUUUGGAUAUGAGAUGGUGUUGAUGAAGAUGUUGAUGGUGACGAUUCCUCUUCGAUGAGAGGAGUGUUGGUGAUGACGAUGGCGACAAUUUCCCCCUCCGGAAGGGAAGUUUCCCCGGCACGAUCGUCCUGCCGGAGCUCUAGAUUGAUUCUGCUCAAGUUCCGCCUCGUGGCGGCGGCGAAUCCUCCGAAAAUCCUCAUCCUGAAUUUUUUCGGAACAAAACCCUUCAUAUAGCAGAAGAGGGGAGCUAGUGGGCCAGCAGGGAGCCCACAAGCCACCUAGGCGCAGCCAGGGGGUGGCCGCGCCUAGCAGGCUUGUGGCCACCUGCUGGCGCCCCUUUGGCACUUCUUCAGCCCAGUAUUUUUUAUAUAUUCCCAAAAAAUCCACGUUGAUUUUCACGGCAUUUGGAGUUGCACAGAAUAGGCAUCUCAAACUUGCUCCUUUUUCAGGCCAGAAUUCCAGCUGCCGGCAUUCUCCCUCUUCAUGUAAACCUUGCAAAAUAAGAGAGAAAAGGCAUAAGUAUUGUACCGUGAAGUGAAAUAACAGCCCAAAAAACAAUAAAUAUCAACAUGAAAGCAUGAUGCAAAAUGGGCGUAUCAGUGUGACAUGUACCAUAGGUAUGGUGGAUGAAUUUGAAUAAGGGUGCAUUCGGAUGUACAUAUGAGUCCUUUGGUCUCACCUUAUAGAGAACACCUUUUGGGCAGAGGCUCGGGGGAAAUGCACACAAUCCUAAGAGAGGUAAUGUUGUGUUACGUGGACUCAAGUAUUGUAAAAUGUGUGAUCGCAUGCUUUGCCCGAUUGGGGUGAAGAAAUCCCCCAUUCUAUACUCUCCCUUGGCCAAGUGGGAUAUAUUUAUCAUCCUUUUUAUCGAACUAUCACCGGUGGCAACAUCAAUCCAUACACAAAAAUAUAGAUGUUGGUUCAUGAUAAGCAUAACUCAUCGCACAAAAGACCCCCAUUUUCUCGCCCGACUUUCUUUCACGUACAUCCAAUCGAUGCAGAGAAACUUCUGAUAGCAAAGGACAAUACCACCAAUGCUUUCAUGCAUUCUUUCACUUUGAACCCUCCCCGACCAUUGGGGCCAACUCCCUAAAUGUGUAUGCUAGGUUAACCUCUUAGAUAACUCCGCUGACAAAUGAAAUAGAUUACAUUUGAAUGAAGAGUGUUUUGCUAAAUUCGACAAUGCAAGUUGGUUUUUGAUCUCAUCGAGAAACUGAUGUAUUUUAUUUAAUUAGAAGGUUGGUUAUCAUACUACCAAGUGGGUGGGUUCAAAGAUAUACGAGGGGAUUAAGCCCACCUAAACAUUUUCCAUUGUAGCACACCAAGGCCGAAGGGGAAUAAAUUAUAGGGUAAUUGCACACAAGUCAGAGUUAAACCAAAAAAUAUUUCAAAGGUUGGAUUUCGUACCAAAAGCAUGCAACAAAGAGAUAGAAUACAACUGACAAAAGAGGGAGGAAACUUGAGCCAACUGAAUUGGGAAGUCAAUUUGACAGCGAUGACGGAAGACCUAAUGAGUUGAUACCAUGACAUAAACAUGUGUAUGCUUCCCACGCUGUUGAAGGCCACCCAUAGUAGAGACAAGAUGUGAGCACAAACCAAUUAGAUCCACAACUUAUAUGGCAUCACGAGGACCAAUAGGUGAAAUUCAUACGUGUAGCUAUGCUAAGAGCUUUAGAACAUUUAAGGCGUGAAGAGACGAGUGUGAAAUAUAUAGACUCCAAGAAAGAACUCUCAAAGGAUCAUGACGAGCACAUUCGAAGAGCAUUAGAUAGUGAGAAAGUAUGGUGAUAGAGAUGUGUUUCCGACGAAGCCAAAAUAUAGAUGAGCCGAUGAGGGAAGCAACAUUGGUGUGUCACCACUAAGGGUGAAGGUAAACACACAAUCAACAAAAACCCAUGAUGCAUGGGUAGACCUCGAGCGGGCCACCAUCACCACAACCUGCCGUGCACAGGCUCCAAGCCAAAGGGCUGCCAGAAGGAAAGAACAAAAUAGCCCGACAUUGGCCAAGAUUUUAGGUGAUGUCUACAAGGAGGCAAAACCAAACACAGCAUGCAUCACCAUUGCCAGAUUCGAAGAACCCCGUAUCUAAAAUUUCUCGUGGAACGCAACUGUUGAAGGGAGAAAAACAUAGUGCCAAGACGACGGCUCCAGUGAGGAACCCGACACCCGCCCACACUGCCAUGCACAUGCUUUUCGCCUCCCGAUGCCCUCCUCACCUUUGUUCCAUGACAUGUCGGUCACACCAUCACUUUAGCGCCACGACAGGAGUCACCCUGAUAGCAACAACGAUCUACAGAUGACCCUGUUGGGGGCGGCUAAGGCUGCAAGUUAGCCCGGGUCUAGAUUUUUGGGGAAUUCUAAAAAAUCCACAUCCUAAUCAAAACAUAAGAACAUCAAUCUAAAACCCAUAAAUGUAUGUGACCCCUUCUCGUAUGGUCAUGCCAAUUUUCCCUUUUUAGGAGAUUAUUGCCACCCCUAUGGCAUCCGUUUGAUCUUGCUUUGAGAUUAUGUAGCUUCUUUUAGGCUUGCACUUUGUUUAGCCUUUCAUUUGUCUAAUUGCACUCAUAUGACUUCUUAGCAUUAAGCAGUAACAAUGCUAAAUGCUGAUACCACGUAUACGCAUGGAUAUUUUUUGGUGGGAUCAUUUUGGAGUUCACGAAGAACUUAUUAUAGGAAAUUCAAGUGGUAGUAAGUACCACUGGGUGACAGGAAACAUUUGUCCUAUAUAUAGAAAGUCUAUUUGUCAUCCAGGGUGAAGAAUAAGACAUGAUUCUUGGUGGAUGUUGUAAUUUUACCUCACACGCAUCUCAUAAUCUUACCUGACCGACAUGGUCUAAUCUUACCUCACAUGCAUUGAACUCAAGUGCAUCACAUUUUUUUUCUCGCGGUGGAUGUUAAGAAGCACUUAAGUACACACGAUAAUAUUACCUCACAUGCAUUUUGGUUAUGACGAUGAUUAUAGGGUGCAUGAGGAGGUGGGCUGAAUAAUAACAAUUCUUCACCCUGGGUGAUGGUGAUUGUAGGAUUUCCAGGACAAAACAAAGUCCAUGAAAUCCUAGAAUACAACACAAUUACUUUGUUUUAAUUCACUCGUCACCCAAAUAUACUCCACAAAAGGAAUGUCACAUUACCAAGGUCUUGAGAUCUUGUAAAGGAAGUCAUUGAUUAGAAUGCAUACGGUGUGAAGAUAGAGAUACAAUGCAAGCAUUGAAUGAUUACAACCUAGAAGUAAAAGAAAAGAGCAAAGUGAAUGCACAUGACAAAGCACUACCUCGUUAGAGUACACAACAACCAUCACCAUGGAGCAGUGUCACUUGCAUUGUUCAAGGGCAUCAUAGUACCAAGACGUGGCCUUUUAUACCACAACAAAACCUGCAAAGUUUUCAUUUAUCCACAUGACGUGAUACUAGAACAAACACAUUCAACGAGUUUCAUCAUCAUGGAUCACAAAACUCUGCACAAGAGGCAUCAUAUUGGAGCCUUUCAGCCAUGAGGCCACGGACGAACAUGACUAUCCUUGAUUGCAGGAUCCACCGUGACGACAACCGAAGCAAUUUUCAAAUACGAGUGGGGAGUUUGCAUCAUCAAAGAUCAAAGAUCUACUAGGACCGCACCAAGAUCUAGCAUGACUUGAUCGCAACACUUAGACUAUCAUGGGAGGGACUUGAUCAUGCAAAACAACAAGGAGUGGACAUUGAUGGUAGCGCAAAGUGCGCGGAGUAAAUGAACGGUAGCUCAGUGAUGCCUAAGAUGACACCAAUCUUGUCAUGUCCAGUAGAGUAAGAAUACCCAUGUCAAUGGUAAGGGCGAAAAUUCCAUUAGGACACCUUCAACAAGGGGAGUGACACCCAAGGGUGUAUGAUACUUAUCCAACGUAUCUAUAAUUUUUGAUUGUUUCAUGCUAUUAUAUUAUCAAUCUUAUAUACUUUAUAUGUCAUUUUAUAUCAUUUUUGGGACUAACCUAUUAACCCACUUCAAGUUAAUGUUUUCUAUACGUUUUUAGUUUAUAGAAAAUCCAUACCCCACGAAGUCCAAACGCGAAAAAACUUUUUGACAUUUUUUCUGGACUAGAAGACACCCUGGAAGCUUCGGAAGGAGACCAGAUGGCACACGACAGAGCCACAAGGCAAGGGGGCGCCCAGCCCCCUUGUAGGCUUCCCGUGGUUCCAUUUACCCUAAAACCAGAGUUAUAGAUUCAAAUAUCCCCAGAAACCUCCAUAACACAUCCCAAAAGAAUUUUUUUGCUAUCGGAAGCCUUUGUUCUUCCGUGAUCCCAGUUGGAGACAUUUUAUUGUACUCUGUCGGAGGGGCAAUCCAUCACAGAGGCCAUUUUCAUCAACCUUGCUGCCUUCAUGGUGAUGUGUGAGUAGUUCCCCAUAGGACAUAUGGGUCCAUAGUGGUACCUCUCUCUCUUUANCAUAUGUUACUAUUGUAUGAUACUACCUUCAUAGUGCAUAGUACUAUCAUAAACUAGUAUCAUAGAUGAUCUCAUUUAUUGACAUGCAUGACACAUAGUAGCAUAGCAUUUAACAUGAUACGGUAUCUACCUAUGUUACUCUAACUCUCUCUCUCUCUCUGAUCUUCAAUACCAUGUUCUCUUCAUAGAUCUAUUCGACGUAAUCCUUGUCAUGUGUUUGUUGGGCCGAUUGAUUGUGGGUUUAUGAUCAGAUUAUUCAUUAAAAUUAAUUGAAUCUUUUCACACUAUUAUGUAUAAUUUUAUAGCUAUGUAUGCCUUUCGAUCUAUGAGUUUUCAUUGGCCAAGUUAAUGACUAGAUGUUCAGAGAAAGUGGUGCAUAGUAGUAGGUUCAAUCUUGAAGUGUCCUUACUCUGUGACGGGAGGAGUUUCAAGGUAAGUAUGGUAAUUUUUCUAAUAAGGGUAAAACGGUGGGGUUAUAACAUAUUUGAUGGUCUUUUUAUUUCUACAUCAUGUCAUCUUGCUUCAUGAAUUACUCUGUUUUUUAUGAACUUCGUACCUUGCGAUGCAUGCUAGAUAGCGGUCAAGAGGUGAAGUAAUAGUAGUAGAUAUAUAUGUA
RNAcentral lists this long non-coding RNA (14815 nucleotides) under Hordeum vulgare. RNAcentral describes it as "long non-coding RNA (HVUL_LNC002921)". The record is from RNAcentral. Lineage: Eukaryota; Viridiplantae; Streptophyta; Magnoliopsida; Poales; Poaceae.